Molecule: ribosomal RNA, 234 nt
Filed under: uncultured Actinomycetales bacterium
Lineage: Bacteria; Bacillati; Actinomycetota; Actinomycetes; Actinomycetales
Description: partial 16S ribosomal RNA
Rfam family: Bacterial small subunit ribosomal RNA
Source: RNAcentral
UGGCGAACGGGUGAGUAACACGUGGGUGAUCUGCCCUGCACUUCGGGAUAAGCCUGGGAAACUGGGUCUAAUACCGGAUAGGACGAUGGUUUGGAUGCCAUUGUGGAAAGUUUUUCGGUGUGGGAUGAGCUCGCGGCCUAUCAGCUUGUUGGUGGGGUAAUGGCCUACCAAGGCGUCGACGGGUAGCCGGCCUGAGAGGGUGUACGGCCACAUUGGGACUGAGAUACGGCCCAG